GAAUUCGCCCUUAGAGUUUGAUCCUGGCUCAGGAUGAACGCUGGCGGCGUGCCUAACACAUGCAAGUCGAACGGAGUUCUUAAGGAAUGCGACUUCGGUCAAAUGACUUUUGAACUUAGUGGCGGACGGGUGAGUAACGCGUGAGCAACCUGCCUUUCAGAGGGGGAUAACAUUUGGAAACAGAUGCUAAUACCGCAUAAGAUUACAGUACCGCAUGAUACAGUGAUCAAAGGAGCAAUCCGCUGAAAGAUGGGCUCGCGUCCGAUUAGAUAGUUGGUGAGGUAACGGCUCACCAAGUCGACGAUCGGUAGCCGGACUGAGAGGUUGAACGGCCACAUUGGGACUGAGACACGGCCCAGACUCCUACGGGAGGCAGCAGUGGGGAAUAUUGCACAAUGGGCGAAAGCCUGAUGCAGCAACGCCGCGUGAGGGAAGACGGUUUUCGGAUUGUAAACCUCUGUUUUCGGUGACGAAUAAAUGACGGUAACCGAGUAGGAAGCCACGGCUAACUACGUGCCAGCAGCCGCGGUAAUACGUAGGUGGCAAGCGUUAUCCGGAAUUACUGGGUGUAAAGGGAGCGCAGGCGGGAUAGCAAGUCAGCUGUGAAAACUAUGGGCUCAACCCAUAAACUGCAGUUGAAACUGUUAUUCUUGAGUGGAGUAGAGGCAAGCGGAAUUCCGAGUGUAGCGGUGAAAUGCGUAGAUAUUCGGAGGAACACCAGUGGCGAAGGCGGCUUGCUGGGCUCUAACUGACGCUGAGGCUCGAAAGUGUGGGGAGCAAACAGGAUUAGAUACCCUGGUAGUCCACACUGUAAACGAUGAUUGCUAGGUGUGGGGGGUCUGACCCCCUCCGUGCCGGAGUUAACGCAAUAAGCAAUCCACCUGGGGAGUACGCCGGCAACGGUGAAACUCAAAGGAAUUGACGGGGGCCCGCACAAGCGGAGGAACAUGUGGUUUAAUUCGAUGAUACGCGAGGAACCUUACCCGGGCUUGAAUUGCAACUGAAUGAUGUGGAGACAUGUCAGCCGCAAGGCAGUUGUGAAGGUGCUGCAUGGUUGUCGUCAGCUCGUGCCGUGAGGUGUCGGCUUAAGUGCCAUAACGAGCGCAACCCUUAUCGAUAGUUACCAUCAGGUUAUGCUGGGGACUCUGUCGAGACUGCCGUCGUAAGAUGUGAGGAAGGUGGGGAUGACGUCAAAUCAGCACGGCCCUUACGUCCGGGGCUACACACGUGUUACAAUGGGGGGUACAGAAGGCAGCUACACGGCGACGUGAUGCUAAUCCCGAAAGCCUCUCUCAGUUCGGAUUGGAGUCUGCAACCCGACUCCAUGAAGCUGGAUUCGCUAGUAAUCGCGCAUCAGCCACGGCGCGGUGAAUACGUUCCCGGGCCUUGCACACACCGCCCGUCA
Molecule: ribosomal RNA, 1405 nt
Filed under: uncultured bacterium
Lineage: Bacteria
Description: bacterial SSU rRNA
Rfam family: Bacterial small subunit ribosomal RNA
Source: RNAcentral